RNAcentral lists this ribosomal RNA (211 nucleotides) under uncultured fungus. RNAcentral describes it as "partial 18S ribosomal RNA". It matches the Rfam family "Eukaryotic small subunit ribosomal RNA", at positions 1486 to 1698 of the family's 1831-position model. Lineage: Eukaryota; Fungi. The record is from RNAcentral.
GCUUUGAUCGGUACCCUGACAGGGCCAACGAGUUCAUCACCUUGGCCGAAAGGCCUGGGUAAUCUUGUUAAACCCUGUCGUGCUGGGGAUAGAGCAUUGCAAUUAUUGCUCUUCAACGAGGAAUGCCUAGUAAGCGCAAGUCAUCAGCUUGCGUUGAUUACGUCCCUGCCUUUUGUACACACCGUCCGUCGCUACUACCGAUUGAAUGGCU